CUGGGAAAGAGUAAACCUUUGAGUGUGGGGGAGAGUGUGGUGAACCCGACAGUGAGAUUUUCCUGGGACUCUGCAAUGACCAGAAAAUUUGUCUGCUGUGACUUGGGAGGCAACACCAUUGUGAUUACUGUAUGGGGGCAAGCAGAACACAAGAGGUGGACCAUAUUGAGAUUACUGUAUGGGGGCAAGCAGAACACAAGAGGUGGACCAUAUUGAGAUUACUGUAUGGGGGCAAGCAGAACAUGAGAGGUGGACCAUAUUGAGGUUACUGUAUGGGGGCAAGCAGAACAUGAGAGGAGCCAUAUUCAUGUUACCAUUAUCAUUUCCUGGAUGUUAUUCAGUAUGGAAGAUAAAGGGUAUAACUUCACAAAUCUUUAGUAGUUUCUCAUGCUUUUGAAUUAAUUGUCAAAAUAAUUAUAAGAUCUGACUAUCUGGGCUAAUGCAGAGGGACAAACUCUUAUUUCAUGUCACUCGGGCAAAUGUGUCAUCUUAGUCACAAGGAAUCAUUUCCAUGGAUCCUCAUGCGUGGUGACAGACCUCUUCAGUUCAGCUUGGUCAACUGGCCUCUGGAGGGGGGGAUGAAGGAAGUGAAAGAAGUUCAAUAUUUGUGGACUUUUUCUGCUUAGUAUGGGAGCUUGGAGGACGGGGCUACAAGGUAAGUUGAAGGAAUCAGUAGAAAUGUAAGCUGGAAGGUAAGUGAUGUGAGGAUACUGGAAUAAUCUUGUUCUGCCAAUCUUGACAUGUGCCUCUGAAACACGGGCAUGGAACGAGUUAGCAGGCAACGGAAUGUAGCUCUAUACUCAACUCUCACUAUUAGGGACGUGUAGUACGUGGUAUAACAAGGUGAGAUGCAGAUGCUCCCACCUCACACACACUAUUUCCAAAGGUCAAAAAGGAGGUUAAUCGAGUUCUAAUGAGUGUUCCUUCAGGUUCACGGUUCAGAAGAAGGCUCAGACUACCACCAGGGUCAUAAAACUACCCCUGAAAAUGCCCUAAACUCCCACGAAAGUCUUGUAAAUUAAGUGUUCUUGGGCGCAGAAAUGUUUAAAAAUAUGGCCCUUUGUUCUUGCGCCUUUUUACCUUUUAUCGAGAUUUCCUGGCAUUUCCAGUUGUAUAAUCACACUCUGUACUGCCUGGGGGUUGGGAUGGCAUACUCCUCCCUUCUCCUUUGUUACUUGCAACAAUAAACUUUCAAUCAUG
This is a long non-coding RNA of Eriocheir sinensis (Chinese mitten crab), 1200 nucleotides long. RefSeq lists it as uncharacterized. The transcript has 2 exons. The record is from RefSeq and is a predicted model, not a curated record. NCBI's taxonomy places the organism in Eukaryota, Metazoa, Arthropoda, Malacostraca, Decapoda, Varunidae.